Non-coding RNA from Lysinibacillus sphaericus OT4b.31, 219 nucleotides. Lineage: Bacteria; Bacillati; Bacillota; Bacilli; Caryophanales; Bacillaceae. The record is from Rfam.
UUAAAAGUGUUGAUAAGGAGAAGUAAGUGGCGCAUGCUCUAUAGAGAGGACCAUCACCGGCUGAAAGUGGUCUGAGCCAAGGCAAAACUGAAAUGCACCUUUGAGCAUAGGGCUGAACGUUAAGUAGGCUUUAUCGGGUCGUUCCCGUUACAGAACAUCCAGAGUGGAAGGCCUGUGCCUUCAAUCAGAGUGGAACCGCGCAAAUUUAGCGUCUCUGUC